RNAcentral lists this ribosomal RNA (497 nucleotides) under uncultured bacterium. RNAcentral's name for it is "partial 16S ribosomal RNA". It matches the Rfam family "Bacterial small subunit ribosomal RNA", at positions 28 to 507 of the family's 1533-position model. The record is from RNAcentral.
GACGAACGCUGGCGGCGUGCCUAAUACAUGCAAGUUGAGCGAUGAAGAUUGGUGCUUGCACCAAUUUGAAGAGCAGCGAACGGGUGAGUAACGCGUGGGGAAUCUGCCUUUGAGCGGGGGACAACAUUUGGAAACGAAUGCUAAUACCGCAUAAUAACUUUAAACAUAAGUUUUAAGUUUGAAAGAUGCAAUUGCAUCACUCAAAGAUGAUCCCGCGUUGUAUUAGCUAGUUGGUGAGGUAAAGGCUCACCAAGGCGAUGAUACAUAGCCGACCUGAGAGGGUGAUCGGCCACAUUGGGACCGAGACACGGCCCAAACUCCUACGGGAGGCAGCAGUAGGGAAUCUUCGGCAAUGGACGAAAGUCUGACCGAGCAACGCCGCGUGAGUGAAGAAGGUUUUCGGAUCGUAAAACUCUGUUGGUAGAGAAGAACGUUGGUGAGAGUGGAAAGCUCAUCAAGUGACGGUAACUACCCAGAAAGGGACGGCUAACUACGUG